GAUGAACGCUGGCGGCGUGCUUAAUACAUGCAAGUCGAGCGAACGGACGAGAAGCUUGCUUUUCUGAUGUUAGCGGCGGACGGGUGAGUAACACGUGGAUAAUCUACUUAUAAGACUGGGAUAACUUCGGGAAUCCGGAGCUAAUACCGGAUAAUAUUUUGAACCGCAUGGUUCAAAAGUGAAAGACGGUCUUGCUGUCGCUUAUAGAUGGAUCCGCGCUGCAUUAGCUAGUUGGUAAGGUAACGGCUUACCAAGGCAACGAUGCAUAGCCGACCGGGGAGAGUGAUCGGCCACCCGGGAACUGAGACACGGUCCAGACUCCUACGGGAGGCAGCAGUAGGGAAUCUUCCGCAAUGGGCGAAAGCCUGACGGAGCAGCGGCGCGUGAGUGGUAGAGGUCUUGGGAUCGUAAAACUCUGUUAUGAGGGAAGAACAUAUGUGUAAGUAACUGUGCACAUCUUGACGGUACCGAAUCAGAAAGCCACGGCUAACUACGUG
RNAcentral lists this ribosomal RNA (497 nucleotides) under uncultured bacterium. RNAcentral's name for it is "partial 16S ribosomal RNA". It matches the Rfam family "Bacterial small subunit ribosomal RNA", at positions 28 to 507 of the family's 1533-position model. The record is from RNAcentral.